This 497-nucleotide ribosomal RNA is filed under the name uncultured bacterium. RNAcentral's name for it is "partial 16S ribosomal RNA". It matches the Rfam family "Bacterial small subunit ribosomal RNA", at positions 28 to 507 of the family's 1533-position model. The record is from RNAcentral.
GAUGAACGCUGGCGGCGUGCCUAAUACAUGCAAGUCGAGCGAACAGACGAGGAGCUUGCUCCUCUGACGUUAGCGGCGGACGGGUGAGUAACACGUGGAUAACCUACCUAUAAGACUGGGAUAACUUCGGGAAACCGGAGCUAAUACCGGAUAAUAUAUUGAACCGCAUGGUUCAAUAGUGAAAGACGGUUUUGCUGUCACUUAUAGAUGGAUCCGCGCCGCAUUAGCUAGUUGGUAAGGUAACGGCUUACCAAGGCAACGAUGCGUAGCCGACCUGAGAGGGUGAUCGGACACACUGGAACGGAGAAACGGUCCAGACUCCAACGGGAGGCAGCAGUAGGGAAUCUUACGCAAUGGGCGAAAGCCUGACGGAGCAACGCCGCGUGAGUGAUGAAGGUCUUCGGAUCGUAAAACUCUGUUAUUAGGGAAGAACAAAUGUGUAAGUAACUAUGCACGUCUUGACGGUACCUAAUCAGAAAGACACGGCUAACUACGUG